Molecule: ribosomal RNA, 449 nt
Filed under: uncultured bacterium
Lineage: Bacteria
Description: bacterial SSU rRNA
Rfam family: Bacterial small subunit ribosomal RNA
Source: RNAcentral
AACGAACGCUGGCGGCAUGCCUAACACAUGCAAGUCGAACGAAGUCUUCGGACUUAGUGGCGCACGGGUGCGUAACGCGUGGGAAUCUGCCCUUGGGUGCGGAAUAACUUCUCGAAAGGGAUGCUAAUACCGCAUAAUGUCGUAAGACCAAAGAUUUAUCGCCCAAGGAUGAGCCCGCGUAAGAUUAGCUAGUUGGUGGGGUAAAAGCCUACCAAGGCGACGAUCUUUAGCUGGUCUGAGAGGAUGAUCAGCCACACUGGGACUGAGACACGGCCCAGACUCCUACGGGAGGCAGCAGUGGGGAAUAUUGGACAAUGGGCGAAAGCCUGAUCCAGCCAUGCCGCGUGAGUGAUGAAGGCCUUAGGGUUGUAAAGCUCUUUCGCCAGGGAAGAUAAUGACGGUACCUGGAAAGAAGCCUCGGCUAACUCCGUGCCAGCAGCCGCGGUAAU